This 440-nucleotide ribosomal RNA is filed under the name uncultured archaeon. RNAcentral describes it as "bacterial SSU rRNA". It matches the Rfam family "Archaeal small subunit ribosomal RNA", at positions 19 to 458 of the family's 1478-position model. The record is from RNAcentral.
GGAGGUUACUGCUAUCGGUGUUCGCCUAACCCAUGCGAGUCAUAUGUUCUUCGUGAACAUGGCGUACUGCUCAGUAACACGUGAAUAACCUGCCCUUGGGACCGGCAUAACCCCGGGAAACUGGGGAUAAUUCCGGAUACCGCAUAUAUGCUGGAAUGCUUUAUGCGUGAAAUGGAUUCGUCUGCCCAAGGAUGGGUCUGCGGCCUAUCAGGUAGUAGUGGGUGUAAUGUACCUACUACCCUACGACGGGUACGGGUUGUGAGAGCAAGAGCCCGGAGAUGGAUUCUGAGACAUGAAUCCAGGCCCUACGGGGCGCACCAGGCGCGAAAACUUUACAAUGCGGGAAACCGUGAUAAGGGGACACCGAGUGCCAGCAACAUUUGUUGGCUGUCCAGGUGUGUAAACUACACCUGUUAGCAAGGGCCGGGCAAGACCGGUGC